GAUGAACGCUAGCUACAGGCUUAACACAUGCAAGUCGAGGGGUAACAAGAGAAAAGCUUGCUUUUCUUGUUGACGACCGGCGCACGGGUGAGUAACGCGUAUCCAACCUGCCUAUAACUAGGGAAUAACCUUGCGAAAGUAAGACUAAUACCCUAUGAUUUCCUUUGAUGGCAUCAGAUUAGGAAUAAAGAUUUAUCGGUUAUAGAUGGGGAUGCGUCUGAUUGGCUUGUUGGCGGGGUAACGGCCCACCAAGGCAACGAUCAGUAGGGGUUAUGAGAGGAAGGUCCCCCACAUUGGAACUGAGACACGGUCCAAACUCCUACGGGAGGCAGCAGUGAGGAAUAUUGGUCAAUGGGCGGAAGCCUGAACCAGCCAAGUAGCGUGCAGGAUGACGGCCCUAUGGGUUGUAAACUGCUUUUAUACAGGAAUAAAGUUAGCCACGUGUGGUUAUUUGUAGGUACUGUAUGAAUAGGGACCGGCUAAUUCCGUGCCAGCCGCCGCAGUAA
Molecule: ribosomal RNA, 506 nt
Filed under: uncultured bacterium
Lineage: Bacteria
Description: partial 16S ribosomal RNA
Rfam family: Bacterial small subunit ribosomal RNA
Source: RNAcentral